CACAAACACACACACGUACAUGCACGUCGCUAUAUAAGUGCAAUAAUCUUGGACGCGACGUUAAACCCAAUUUCACCUAACCUCAUAAUGUAUUUACACACUCCAGCGACUCAUGAUUUAACAAUGGCAGAUCUUUUUGUUCCAAAGGGCAAUAACUCUCCUUUUGAAAUGAUAUAAGCGAAGGUCCAACCAGUCGCUUCCGGCCUGGUUUUCGGAUCUAUGCGCGCUGCGACAACUAGUAACCUUGGCCUAGAUCUUCAAAACGAUCGUAGCCCAGAAAUUAUCGUAAAGUUAUCGUAAGGAAAUCUUAGGCUAUGGUAGCCUAUUUUCAAAACUAUCGCAGCCCUGAGAUAUCUUAAGUUUGUCGUAAAUCUAAGAUAGCCCCACACCUGUCGUAAGUUUAUUUUAUCUUCAUCCAAGAUGGCGGCAUACUUUGCCAUAGAUAUUUUGCCAAAUACUCAGUCUGCUUUACGUUCAAACAUUGACAUUUCAAUUUGUUAAACUGUUUGAUUCAAAUUGACACUUUGAAAACACGAAGAACGCAUCAAUGAUUAAUGUUCUUAAUCGCGACAGCGAUCCACAUAACUGUGGAGUCGAUAGCUUAAAAUAUAUUUCUAUCCAAGUCCAUGCUGAAGAAGUUUGAAACAACGUACCAUUUUGAUAAUUUGGGAAGGAUAAAAAAGGAAGGUGUCGGCAGGUUAUAGUAAUGACCAUGACCUUAUUGAUAAUUAACUCAGGGGGAGCUAAUCUUCGCUCAUACUUUUGUUGAGAGUGGUUUCCCUUUGUAUUGGCCAAGGACGCCUUGCUCAAUGUUACAGUUUUCAUCAAGUCAAAACAUGUUGUAACGGAAAUUUACAGAACUGAUUAUCCUAGCAACGACCGGAACAGGACAGUACCUCGUUUCAUACGGGUGUUUUUGCAUCCGGGCCUUCUGGAAAGGUUGACUUAAGGCCGUACGUGCCUCACGAGCUUUAGUGAGCGUCUGGCUCCGAGGGCAAGCUUGCUGGGAUCUGUCUGUACACACACGUAUUUUCGGUAUGGUGAGGUAAUUGUAUUAGUUUUUGCCCAGUCACACCAUUUUAGUCUAGGUUAUCAUGUUUAUCAUAAUGAUAUAGCGUGUGUUUUACGGUGACAUUUUCUGCUAGAAUCUAUGUGCUAGUGUUAUUCUGAGAUUUUCCAAGUCUUUGAACCCGGUGGGUCAACCGAGUGAUGUGUCAGAUAUAUUUGAAGACUAUGAUUAUGAAAUUGUUUAACCCUCUCGCCCGACUGCCCGAUUUAUCGGGCAGCAUAAACCCUGUCCCAGUACCCGGCUGCCUGAAAAAUUGGGUGGCUACUGUCCAAGCCCCACACACGGCUGCCCGAUAAAUCGGGCGGGACGACCGUGUUUACAAAAUCGCUCUAUCUACUUCCUUUCUCGUGUGUAAUCUCGUUCUAAACAUGGAAACGAGAUCUUCAUGUAAUGACACGUCAUUCGAUGGAAUUUCCCAGUCUUUUUGGCGCGAAAAUCGCAAAUGUCACCUGUUUUCGCGACAGGUAUUUUUCUCGCUUGAAUCGUAAAUCUAGCGUAAUGGCGGCCAACUACGAUUCGGAUAGUGAUCAGAUGACUAACAACGACUCUAUUGGGAAUAAUAAUGUGUUUGAUUUGAAUAAUUUACGCGAAGGGGAGAGGGAAUUUCGCGAAUAUUUUCGUGAAGAUUUUGACGGUUUCGACGAGGUGUCCCCCCCCCCCCCCCACCAACUUUCAAAAAUAGAAGUGGCAGAGGGACCACAACGGUGGAGACAUGAGGGAUUUUGAAGAGGCGACCGGACUCAAGAAUAUAUAUUGACACGGUGAGUGAAGUAUCGUGCUAUUGAUUUUUUCCAACUGUUUUACAAUGAUUCUGUGUUUGAACAGAUUAACAGUGCAACGAAUGAGAAUGCAGCCUACACGUGAACGAGCGAUCACAACAACAACAAAGAUCAAUCUGUGAUAUCUUCUCUGUGAUGUCAUUCUUAUAGUAGCUGUGGUUUAAUGUUAAGAUGUGCAUGAAGAGAAUUUACCUGUAACACCUGGGAUAACCUGUGCCGUCC
This 2070-nucleotide long non-coding RNA is filed under the name Haliotis rufescens (red abalone). RNAcentral describes it as "uncharacterized LOC125375987". Lineage: Eukaryota; Metazoa; Mollusca; Gastropoda; Lepetellida; Haliotidae. The record is from RNAcentral.